Molecule: long non-coding RNA, 2923 nt
Filed under: Sus scrofa (pig)
Lineage: Eukaryota; Metazoa; Chordata; Mammalia; Artiodactyla; Suidae
Description: lncRNA (ENSSSCG00030030890.1)
Source: RNAcentral
GAAGGCCUUUCGCACAGUCCCAAGGCCAGGAAGACGGAGGACGAGAACCCAGGAGCCCCCACGUCACCCCUGGGCUGUGCCUCUGCCCUCCAAGGCAUCAGUGACUUGAACAGCCUUCAGGCCUAGGUAGGGACAAGAAAGGACCUGCCCGUGUCACUCUGGAAGCCAGCCCACCGCAGGCCAGUUCUUACAGCCAGUCCAAGGUGCUUGGCAACGUGGACCUUCUCAAGAAGAAAUUCUGCUUGAAUGGACCAUCUCCAAGCGGGGCGGGUCCCCGGGAACCAACAAGGAACAGGCUUGCUGUGGACCAGCACUGCUCGAUGGUAAGUAAGACUCAGGCCCACGGAGAGCAGGAAUGUUCCUGGACGCGUCCCAAAGCCAGUUCGGUGCCAGGAACUGGGAACCGUGUGUCCGGAGCUAGCGGGAACUGCACCUCUGAGCAAGAUGCUCCAGGCCGGAGGAGGUCUCGGGUCACGGGUGAUGGAGCUGAAUCCGCCCCGUCCUGUCCCCUCAUCUCGGCCACGCCCCCAGACAGCCUGCGACAGCGUUUACUUCGCAGACGCGGGCCAGACACAAAUCUCCGGGUCUCACUUGCUCUCAAGGAUCCCAGGGAGCUCCCAGGAGAGCCUGGGCUUCCCUGAUCUUUGUGCUGCCACCCGUUUAGGUUCUCUCCGUGUUUGCCUAAUGAGUCCUCUCAUGCCUGUUGCUUUGUUUCCAGGGUUCAAGGCGUCCUUGUCUGCUAAACAGGAAGGCAUGUGUGAUUCUGGCCUCCAGGUGGCUGAGUCCCAGCUAAGAGCCGAGGCAGCCCUGGGCUGUACAGAACCGACAGCAGGGGGUCCUCUGCUUCCUGAAAUGCACAUCUGCCCCAUAGCCAGCCUCCCGCCUUAGGAAAAGCAGCCGGGCUUGUCCCCCAAGCCCACGCAGGCUGUGUCUGUUACUUGCAUCUGGGAUGCCGUGGGGAGUGUGGUACCCAAAGGGUAAGGAGUGUCACCUCGCCUUGGCCAUCUGUGACUCUGGAACUUAAGGACUUCUGUGUCAGAAGAAAGGCACCCCUCUUUGGAACAUUUGCGCCUGCAGAACCAGACCCGGGCCCCAGGAUCACGGAAUCCACUGGGGUCAGUGUGAAGUGACCACAGACCUUGCGACCACCAUGGGCCAGCUCCAAUAUGACAAGGCCAUCUGCUGAUGGGCCACAGGCGUUGCCUGCAGAAGGACGCCCAAGGCAACUUGGGUGGAGACACGGCCAGCUGUGUGACAUUAUAGGGUUUCCAGACCUGGGACCAGGAAGCAGCCACAAGGCUUCCUUCCCUCCAACCAAAGUUCUCAGGGUGCAAAAGGCAGCCUUGCCAACCGGCCUGGCCAAUCCCAUGCUGAGCCCAGCCCUGUGCCUGAUCCGUCAUCAAGGGCAACCCAGCUGGUGUUUCAGGAAGAACCCAGCCUUCAAAGUUGACUUCAAAUUGCUAUGAAUCACCCUAUCUGAUGCAAAUGUGGGCUUGGGUAGACUCGGAGAUAGCUGAUUGCCUCAGAUUAAUCCACAGUUGCCUCGGCAGGUAAUUUACUUCUGGGAGUUGCAGGGACUAAGAAGAACAAGGCAUUUGCAUAAAUAGACUAAACUCAGAGUCCAGGCAGCCAGCCGGUUCUCUGGCUGGCAGCUCCUGGUGACAGAGGACUCCCAUGAUUCUGGACCCCACCCACCUAUCCAUAUCUCAUACGUGAAAAUCAUCCUUGAAGUCUGGCCAUGGUCCCCAGCCACUGCCCCUGAUAAGUGGGUGCUCCACCGCAAUGCCCCUCAGCAGGUGGUCUGUCUCUCCACAUUUCCGUGACUUUUGCUGCAACCAAAUUCUUUCUUGCCCUGGGUAGCGAUCCACCAUCAUGGCUCCAGUCACCCUCCAGGUCAACUGGCUUUGUCCUGGGAUGUUCCUUCAUGCGUUUGAAGUGUUCCCUGGCUUCUCUGUGCAGACCAAAGCCCUGGACUUCCUAAUACAGCAGGGUUCUGGAACGCUCCACCAUCUGGUCAGCCUCCUCCAGGCUUCCUUUCCUUGCAGCCUUCCUCUGAGAAUGUGGCAGCCAUACCAGGGGUGGGCUCACCAGUAUCACCUCCCUUGUUUCAGCCACUGUACUCCUAUUAAUAUGACCUGGCCUUUUGGACAGCUCAACCGCAUGGUGUCUCGUAAUAAGAUUUAGAGUUAACUAAACACGCCCUUUGUAAAAUGGGCACUGUUUGGCCUCCUUUCUCCCAGCUGGUAGCUGUUCUGUUGAGGUUUGGAGCUAAAUACUACACUUAAUAUUUAUUUCUGUGUGUGUGUGUGUGUGUGUGUGUGUGUAUUUGUCUUUUUACGCCCACACCCUUGGCAUAUGGAGGCUCCCAGGCUAGGGGCGAGUCAGAGCUGUAGCUGCCAGCCUACACCACAGCCAUAGCAACGCCAGAUCCUUAACCCACUGAGCGAGGCCAGGGAGCGAACCCUCAACGUCAUGGUUCCUCGUCAGAUUCGUUUCCACUGCACCACAACGGGAACUCCCUAUUCCUGUUAUAUAUUGUUGUUUUAAUUUGACCUGUCCUUCCGUCCCUGUCACUCACAGUAAUUUUCUGCCAUUUGGAAACCUGUUACAAACGCCUUUGGUGGCUUGACCCAGGUUAUUAUUUAAAAAGCAUUUUCUGUUAUGGAUGCGGUUAAUCAUUACAGCCAGCAGCUUGCUUUUCUCUACCUUUUUUCAAAAGGCAAUAUGCUAAUGGCUUUGCUAAAAUAUCUUAAAAUGUUAGCGCCGGAAGAGAUGCUAAGGACAUGUGCUUCAACUCCUUCAUUUGACGGAGGAGGGAACUGAGGCAGAGGGGUGCCAGGGACCAUGGAGACCCCCGAUCUGUGGCAGAGCCGGGCGCUGUGACUCAAAUAUUCCAACCCAGGUAUCCUUUGGCUAUUUGUGC